This 482-nucleotide ribosomal RNA is filed under the name uncultured bacterium. RNAcentral describes it as "bacterial SSU rRNA". It matches the Rfam family "Bacterial small subunit ribosomal RNA", at positions 28 to 520 of the family's 1533-position model. The record is from RNAcentral.
GAUGAACGCUAGCGGCAGGCUUAAUACAUGCAAGUCAAGGGGGUAGCAAUACAACCGGCGCACGGGUGAGUAACGCGUACACAACAUACCAUAUACUGGAGUAUAGCUUUGGGAAACUGAAGGUAAUCCUCCAUAACAUUGCGAGAGGGCAUCUGAUUGCAAUUAAAGUUUCGGCGGUAUAUGAUUGGUGUGCGUUUGAUUAGCUAGUUGGUAGGGUAACGGCCUACCAAGGCGACGAUCAAUAGCUGGCGUGAGAGCGCGACCAGCCACACUGGAACUGAGACACGGUCCAGACUCCUACGGGAGGCAGCAGUAGGGAAUAUUGGACAAUGGAGGAAACUCUGAUCCAGCCAUGCCGCGUGAUAGAUGAAGGCCCUCUGGGUUGUAAAUAUCUUUUUAUCUGGGAAGAAACACUCCUAUUCUUAGGAACUUGACGGUACCAGAGGAAUAAGCACCGGCUAACUCCGUGCCAGCAGCCGCGG